GAUGAAGAACGUAGCGAAAUGCGAUAAGUAAUGUGAAUUGCAGAAUUCAGUGAAUCAUCGAAUCUUUGAACGCACAUUGCGCCCCUUGGUAUUCCGAGGGGCAUGCCUGUUCGAGCGUCAUUAUAACCCCUCAAGCUCAGCUUGGUGUUGGGCGUCUUGUCUCUAGCUUUGCUGGAGACUCGCCUUAAAGUAAUUGGCAGCCGGCCUACUGGUUUCGGAGCGCAGCACAAGUCGCACUCUCUAUCAGCAAAGGUCUAGCAUCCAUUAAGCCUUUUUUUCAACUUUUGACCUCGGAUCAGGUAGGGAUACCCGCUGAACUUAAGCAUAUCAAUAAGCGGAGA
This 341-nucleotide unclassified non-coding RNA is filed under the name soil metagenome. RNAcentral describes it as "partial contains 5.8S ribosomal RNA, internal transcribed spacer 2, and large subunit ribosomal RNA". The stretch from base 1 to 120 matches the Rfam family "5.8S ribosomal RNA", at positions 35 to 154 of the family's 154-position model. The record is from RNAcentral.